Gadus chalcogrammus (walleye pollock) is the source of this 315-nucleotide long non-coding RNA. RefSeq lists it as uncharacterized. Lineage: Eukaryota; Metazoa; Chordata; Actinopteri; Gadiformes; Gadidae. The transcript has 3 exons. The record is from RefSeq and is a predicted model, not a curated record.
GUCCAGGAUGUAUGGAAUAUCAUUAUGGUUUAUGUGGGCUCCGUCUAUGGCUCCAUUCCCAACACUGAAGGACUGGGAAAGGAAAGGAGUCAAGACAUCUUGCUCAAGGAUGCCCACGGGUUUGGCUGAGCAAGACGGAGAGCACCGAUGAUUCAAGGUGAUUUUGGAAAAGAAAACUGUGAAAGCAUGGAAUAAACAAAGAGAAAGAUAUCAAAAGAUGUAUUGACUUUGAAAAUGCCACGCUUGAUCCACAGACUUCAAUAUGAAUAGGAGAAGAUAAAUAAUAGACCUCAGAAGAAUUGUUCUGAAUUCCUG